GGCAACCCACUCCAGUCCCCUUCUGCACUGUGGAAGCUUUGUUCUUUUGCUCUUUGCAAUAAAUCUUGCUACUGCUCACUCUUUGCGUCCACACUGCCUUUAUGAGCUGUAACACUCACUGCGAAGGUCUGCAGCUUCACUCCUGAAGCCAGCCAGACUACGAACCCACCGGGAGGAACGAACAACUCCAGAUGCGCCACCUUAAGAGCUGUAACACUCACCGCGAAGGUCCCGCAGCUUCACUCCUGAGCCAGCAAGACCACGAACCCACCAGAAGGAAGAAACUCCGAACACAUCUGAACAUCAGAAGGAACAAACUCUGGACACACUGCCUUUAAGAACUGUAAUACUCACCGUGAGGGCCCGCGGCUUCAUUCUUGAAGUCAGUGAGACCAAGAACCCACCAAUUCCAGACACAGUGGGAUCACAGAGAGAGCCAACAGUCCAGGCCAUGACAAGCUGGCACCCAGCUCUGCUUCACAUGAUCAAACUGCAUCACGGAAGCUGCACACGAUGACACCCUGUCUGGAAAGUUUUUGCCAGAGGGCAAAAGACUGCAAGCAGAAUAUCCCUUUGCCAUUUCUCAUUCAGGACUGGCCGUUGUCUGAAAGCAAACCUCAAGGACAGGACUUCUGGACUCCGCAGCCACUUCAGGCUGCUGCUCCAUCGCAUGAAUUCCAGCAGGUGGCGCUGCACCCCGCGCGGACCCGGCUUGCCUCUCGGCCCCAGGGAGGUCGGUUGAUGAGCAGUCGGGAAGUGGGUCUGCGCGCACCCCGCUGCAGCUGUGGCAAACGCAAACGAUGACACACAGGCUUGACGAGGGCCUUUGUCAGAAGCAAUGGGGAUCUGGCGUCACCGCACAAUGGAAAACAAAGUGCUUCUGCCUGGCUGGCCAGAAUGCACGUUUGCUCACUAUUGAUGCUGGGGCAUUUACAGGCAGAAUGAGUUCAUGUGAAAUUUCAGGAUCUGCCAUGACUCAGAUUCACUUUCUGUAAACCAGAGUCAACAUUACAUUUCCCUUUACUCUGGGCCAUUCCUUGAAUUUUUAGGUCACCAGUUGUUUUUGUACUAACUGAAGGGAUUUGAGUAUUUCACAAGCACCUUAUUUUUAUUAGCAUUUUUAGGGCAUUACCAAUUUGGGACGGAUCUGUAGUGUGAGAGAUUGUUGUCACUCUUAGCUCCAAACAUAGGUUGACUUUAUAUAUUAUUUACAUGUUCAGAAUUAUACUGUGUAGAAAUUCAAAUGAAACUUGCAAAAUACUUUUCUGGCAGGAAGCCCUGGAGAGGAUCGUUCAUGGAAACAAGGAUGACGACUGGGGUAAGAAAUGCAGGUGACUCGUGAGUGGUCAGGGAGUGGAAGAGAAGACGGCUGGAAGGUUUUAGCAUUCAGAAAAAAAAUGGAGACAACUAGAGUUGAUCUGAAGAUUAUGGCAGAAUUCAAUAUUGGGGGAAAGAAACAAGAUGGGGGUUAGAAAUUAGAAACAGCAGAGCUCCACAGGUUGGAAAGGUUGGAAAGGAUUUGAGCAAGAGAACAAGGAGCCUGCUAAUAGCACCCUGGGUUUACAUCAAGAGAAGCACCUGGAGAGAAUUAACUCGGGAGGAGGUGGGGGCAUGGGAAACCUUUUCAUCUCCAAGAGCGGGCAGGAACAGCAGCUGGCCUGAACUUGAAGGUACACCAGGUAGCUUGCGUGGGCCAGGAGAAGGUGAUUCUCUUCUAUGCCUCUCUCCAACGCCCUGCUUCUGAUGCUGCUCCUCUACCUGUAUUGAGGGGAAGAUACAUCCCUAAGAAGUUCCCUGAACCCCAUUCUUUGUUGUGGCUAACUGGUCCCCUUGGAAUUUUUCUACUAAUUUUCAAUUCCCCCUCUCACCUGGUGAAAUCUUGAAUCUUACUGUUCAAUAAAAGUUCUUCUACCGAAA
This is a long non-coding RNA of Homo sapiens (human), 1917 nucleotides long. Ensembl annotates it as long intergenic non-protein coding RNA 1554. The record is from Ensembl. Lineage: Eukaryota; Metazoa; Chordata; Mammalia; Primates; Hominidae.